RNAcentral lists this ribosomal RNA (437 nucleotides) under uncultured bacterium. RNAcentral's name for it is "partial 16S ribosomal RNA". It matches the Rfam family "Bacterial small subunit ribosomal RNA", at positions 29 to 507 of the family's 1533-position model. The record is from RNAcentral.
AGCGAACGCUGGCGGCAGGCUUAACACAUGCCAGUCGAGCGGGCAUCCUUGUGGUGUCAGCGGCAGACGGGUGAGUAACGCGUGGGGACGUGCCCUUCGGUUCGGAAUAACUCAGGGAAACUUGAGCUAAUACCGGAUACGUGCGAGAGCAGAAAGGUUUAUCUGCCGAAGGAUCGGCCCGCGUCUGAUUAGCUAGUUGGUGAGGUUACGGCUCACCAAGGCGACGAUCAGUAGCUGGUCUGAGAGGAUGAUCAGCCACACUGGGACUGAGACACGGCCCAGACUCCUACGGGAGGCAGCAGUGGGGAAUAUUGGACAAUGGGGGCAACCCUGAUCCAGCCAUGCCGGGUGAGUGAUGACGGCCUUAGGGUUGUAAAGCUCUUUUCUCCGGGACGAUAAUGACGGUACCGGAGGAAUAAGCCCCGGCUAACUUCGUG